AGUGAACGCUGGCGGUAGGCCUAACACAUGCCAGUCGAACGGCAGCACAGUAAGAGCUUGCUCUUACGGGUGGCGAGUGGCGGACGGGUGAGGAAUACAUCGGAAUCUACUUUUUCGUGGGGGAUAACGUAGGGAAACUUACGCUAAUACCGCAUACGACCUACGGGUGAAAGCAGGGGAUCUUCGGACCUUGCGCGAUUGAAUGAGCCGAUGUCGGAUUAGCUAGUUGGCGGGGUAAAGGCCCACCAAGGCGACGAUCCGUAGCUGGUCUGAGAGGAUGAUCGGCCACACUGGAAGUGAGACACGGUCCAGACUCCUACGGGAGGCAGCAGUGGGGAAUGUUGGACAAUUGGCGCAAGCCUGAUCCAGCCAUACCGCGUGGGUGAAGAAGGCCUUCGGGUUGUAAAGCCCUUUUGUUGGGAAAGAAAAGCAGCAGGUGAAUACCCCGCUGUUCUGACGGUACCCAAAGAAUAAGCACCGGCUAACUUCGUG
This 492-nucleotide ribosomal RNA is filed under the name uncultured bacterium. Its description in RNAcentral is "partial 16S ribosomal RNA". It matches the Rfam family "Bacterial small subunit ribosomal RNA", at positions 29 to 507 of the family's 1533-position model. The record is from RNAcentral.